UACGAAAGGGGCUAGCGUUGUUCGGAAUUACUGGGCGUAAAGCGCACGUAGGCGGCCUUGUAAGUUGGGGGUGAAAUCCCGGGGCUCAACCCCGGAACUGCCUUCAAGACUGCAAAGCUAGAGGACGCGAGAGGUUAGCGGAAUUCCGAGUGUAGAGGUGAAAUUCGUAGAUAUUCGGAAGAACACCAGUGGCGAAGGCGGCUAACUGGCGCGUUUCUGACGCUGAGGUGCGAAAGCGUGGGGAGCAAACAGG
This 253-nucleotide ribosomal RNA is filed under the name uncultured bacterium. Its description in RNAcentral is "partial 16S ribosomal RNA". It matches the Rfam family "Bacterial small subunit ribosomal RNA", at positions 524 to 776 of the family's 1533-position model. The record is from RNAcentral.